UACGGAGGUGGCAAGCGUUGUUCGGAUUGAUUGGGUGUAAAGGGCAUGUAGGCGUCCUGGUAAGUCAAAUGUGAAAUCCCGUAGCUCAACUACGGAACUGCAUUUGAAACUACCGGGAUUGAGUACGGAAGGGGAGAAUGGAAUUCCCGGUGUAAGAGUGAAAUCUGUAGAUAUCGGGAGGAACACCAGUGGCGAAGGCGAUUCUCUGGUCCGAUACUGACGCUGAAAUGCGAAAGCUAGGGGAGCAAACAGGAUUAGAUACCCGCGUA
RNAcentral lists this ribosomal RNA (269 nucleotides) under uncultured prokaryote. RNAcentral describes it as "partial 16S ribosomal RNA". It matches the Rfam family "Bacterial small subunit ribosomal RNA", at positions 524 to 792 of the family's 1533-position model. The record is from RNAcentral.